CCUACGGGUGGCAGCAGUGAGGAAUAUUGGUCAAUGGGCGAGAGCCUGAACCAGCCAAGUCGCGUGAAGGAUGAAGGAGCUAUGGUUUGUAAACUUCUUUUAUAGGGGAAUAAAGUGAGGAACGUGGUCCUUUUUGUAUGUACCAUAUGAAUAAGCAUCGGCUAACUCCGUGCCAGCAGCCGCGGUAAUACGGGGGAUGCAAGCGUUAUCCGGAUUUAUUGGGUUUAAAGGGUGCGUAGGCUGUGAGGUAAGUCAGCGGUGAAAUGCCCCCGCUCAACGGGGUGAAGGGCCAUUGCUACUGCCUUGCUGGACUGCGGCUGCCGUGGGCGGAAUGUGUGGUGUAGCGGUGACAUGCAUAGAUCUCACCCAGAACCCCGCUUGCGAAGGCAUCUCACGACUCCGCGCUUGACGCUGAUGCACG
This 421-nucleotide ribosomal RNA is filed under the name uncultured bacterium. RNAcentral describes it as "partial 16S ribosomal RNA". It matches the Rfam family "Bacterial small subunit ribosomal RNA", at positions 338 to 755 of the family's 1533-position model. The record is from RNAcentral.